AUACUUUCCGCCAGAGAACUACAAGUGAAAAACUUGAAACUCAAAGGACUUGGCGGUGUCCCACAUUCAGCCUAGAGGAGCCUGUCCUAUAAUCGAUACCCCACGUUUCACCUCACCCUCACUAGCACCAACCCAGCCUAUAUACCGCCGUCGACAGCUUACCCCAUGAGGGAAAAAUAGUAAGCAUAAUAGCCCCCCGCUAAUACGUCAGGUCAAGGUGUAGCUUAUGUGACGGAAGAGAUUGGCUACAUUUUUUAUAUUAAAAAACACGGAAUGCUACAUGAAAAAUAACAUGAAGGCGAAUUUAGUAGUAAGACAGACAAGAGAACCUGUCUUAAUAAUGCUCUGGGACGCGCACACACCGCC
This 366-nucleotide ribosomal RNA is filed under the name Psammodromus algirus. RNAcentral's name for it is "partial 12S ribosomal RNA". It matches the Rfam family "Bacterial small subunit ribosomal RNA", at positions 862 to 1394 of the family's 1533-position model. The record is from RNAcentral. Lineage: Eukaryota; Metazoa; Chordata; Lepidosauria; Squamata; Lacertidae.